AUUGAACGCUGGCGGCAUGCCUUACACAUGCAAGUCGAACGGCAGCACGGGUGCAAUCCUGGUGGCGAGUGGCGAACGGGUGAGUAAAGUAUCGGAACGUGCCCAGUCGUGGGGGAUAACGUAGCGAAAGCUACGCUAAUACCGCAUACGAUCUAUGGAUGAAAGCGGGGGAUCGCAAGACCUCGCGCGAUUGGAGCGGCCGAUAUCAGAUUAGGUAGUUGGUGAGGUAAAGGCUCACCAAGCCGACGAUCUGUAGCUGGUCUGAGAGGACGACCAGCCACACUGGGACUGAGACACGGCCCAGACUCCUACGGGAGGCAGCAGUGGGGAAUUUUGGACAAUGGGCGCAAGCCUGAUCCAGCAAUGCCGCGUGCAGGAUGAAGGCCUUCGGGUUGUAAACUGCUUUUGUACGGAACGAAACGGCGAGCUCUAAUACAGUUUGCUAAUGACGGUACCGUAAGAAUAAGCACCGGCUAACUACGUGCCAGCAGCCGCGGUAA
Molecule: ribosomal RNA, 500 nt
Filed under: uncultured bacterium
Lineage: Bacteria
Description: partial 16S ribosomal RNA
Rfam family: Bacterial small subunit ribosomal RNA
Source: RNAcentral